RNAcentral lists this long non-coding RNA (237 nucleotides) under Homo sapiens (human). Its description in RNAcentral is "HSALNT0029544". Lineage: Eukaryota; Metazoa; Chordata; Mammalia; Primates; Hominidae. The record is from RNAcentral.
UUUUUAAACAAUGUGUCAGAAGGAAGGAUAAUAUUAGAGGCAUUGUCGUGUUUACUUCAGUUUCUUUCACUAAUGCCUAUCAUCAGCCACAGGAGCGCUUCCCUAGCUUCCUCAUUAAUCACCACCCUCUGGUAUCACAUCAUUAAAGCACUUCCACUCACUCUUGGCUUGUGGUUUGCUUUACAGAAUUGGAGGCAGGAGGGUGAAGAAGUUCUGCCUGCAAAUCUACAAACCCAC